GACGAACGCUGGCGGCGUGCUUAACACAUGCAAGUCGAACGGAAAGGCCCUGCUUUUGUGGGGUGCUCGAGUGGCGAACGGGUGCGUAACAGGUGAGUACCCUGCCCUUGCCUUUGGGAUAACUUCAGGAAACUGGGGCUAAUAACGGCUAGGAGCUCCUACUGUAUGGUGGGGGUUGGAAAGUUUCGGCGGUUGGGGAUGGACUCGCGGCUUAUCAGCUCGUCGGUGGGGUAGUGGCUUACCAAGGCUUUGACGGGUAGCCGGCCUGAGAGGGUGACCGGCCACAUUGGGACUGAGAUGCGGCCCAGACUCCUACGGGAGGCAGCAGUGGGGGAUAUUGCACAAUGGGCGGAAGCCUGAUGCAGCAACGCCGCGUGCGGGAUGACGGCCGUCGGGUUGUAAACCGCUUUCGCCUGUGACGAAGCGUGAGUGACGGUAAUGGGUAAAGAAGCACCGGCUAACUACGUG
This 468-nucleotide ribosomal RNA is filed under the name uncultured bacterium. RNAcentral describes it as "partial 16S ribosomal RNA". It matches the Rfam family "Bacterial small subunit ribosomal RNA", at positions 28 to 507 of the family's 1533-position model. The record is from RNAcentral.